CAAGUACUCCCUCCGUCCCAAAAUUCUUGUCUUAGAUUUGUCUAGAUACGAAUGUACCUGAUACUAUAUAUCCGUAUUUAGACAAAUCUAAGACAAUAAUUUUGGGACGGAGGGAGUAUUUC
Triticum aestivum (bread wheat) is the source of this 122-nucleotide non-coding RNA. Lineage: Eukaryota; Viridiplantae; Streptophyta; Magnoliopsida; Poales; Poaceae. The record is from Rfam.